This is a long non-coding RNA of Oreochromis niloticus (Nile tilapia), 4721 nucleotides long. RefSeq lists it as uncharacterized. Lineage: Eukaryota; Metazoa; Chordata; Actinopteri; Cichliformes; Cichlidae. The transcript is spliced from 2 exons. The record is from RefSeq and is a predicted model, not a curated record.
AGUUACUUCCUGGACAACCUUUCACACUCGCAAUAGCAUCACUCCCCUGGACACGGAUCUCCAUUUGCUCCUCAACAGCUCACUCUUUUUUAUCCAUUCGUGCAUUACUCCACCUGCAAACAAUGCCUGUAGAGGCUACGCCUACACUUGAAGCCACUGAAGGGUUUGAUGGCAGGGGUGAGGCAAUGUAACUGUUAUGAAUUAAACUUGUAACAGCCCAACUCAAUCUAUACUUGUCUUGUACGGUUAAGAUUGUUUUUGUAUUCAUCAGUUUUAUUUGCUUCUCUUUAUUCAAUGUCAUUUAUCAUAACAGCGCAGAGUUUACAAACUGCUUGUUCUGACCAAAAACACCUGGCUUGAGUUACGUUUAUCUUCAAUACAUUUCCAUAAACACACCAUACGUAAAAACACAAAAGGUGACCCGUAGCGGCACACAUAAGGUAACAAUACAAAAAUGGGUCCCACAGUGCCGCUCCACCAUCAACUCUCACACCACUGUUUCACUUGCCAAGCUCCGGCAGCCACAGAUCAUGUUACUGUUCCCUCUAGUAUGAACUACCGUAGUCCAUGUUCAUAGCAUUUUGCUCCUAGUUGUAGAACUCAAAGUUAACAUUCACGCAUUCUAGCCUUGUUUUUAAUUUUACCUUUUGCGUCACAUACACAUACUUGUCUGUUUUUCUAUUUUAUUACUAUAUUUCUAUUUCUAUUGUACAGCACUUUGGUCUACCAGGUGUGUUUUUAAAGUGCUAUAUAAAUGAUGAUGAUGAUGAUGGUUAUGAUGUAAAGAACGUUUUCUGUUAACUUCACUCUGAGCCUGCGCUCGAAUCUGCUCCUGAGUACACUUCAUGUUUCUUGUUGUUUAAGGAAGAGAGUUCGAUUACAGUGAUACGAUAGUUGUAGGACAUACCCUGCUUGCUGGUGUUUUUUCGUGGACAAACUUGGACUGUAUUAGAAAUCUAAACAUUACUGUGAUCCUACAAAGACAAAAAUUUAAAUUAUUACUUUCAACAGGUUUAUAUAUUUAAAUAAAUCAAAAAUUCCAUGUUAGUCUUCUGAAAAUUGUGACUGAGCACUUUUGGAAACACUCUGUCACAGUAUUGAGACUGUGAACGGUUACAGAAUACAUCUGAAAUAAAUGUCAGAUUCUAACAGGUUAUAGUUCUGUUAAUAGAGCUUUUGAAUCUACUCUUCAUACAUAUUCCUGUCUUUAAUAACAGUAUGUCAACGAUGUCAACCAAUAUUUUCAUAUUUCAAACACACACCCAAGUUAAAAAUUUGAAUAUCCAUGUCUUCUACUCUGCAUAUCUGAAAAAUCAGUUUUGAUAAUGUUACAAUUCCAUUGUGAAAUGUUCCCAUCUAUGUUAUUCAUCUUUUUUUAUUUUAAAUGCUGUCAUUAGUUUUUAUUUUUUUCCAACUUAUUAAAAAAAUGAACAUGGUCUACAUUGUUUUGUUCAAUUGAAUAAAACAACAUUUUUGUAUUGUACUCUGGGUUCUUGAAGACCACGCUGUCUUUUAACUUUAUUCUUUAUUUUCUGCAUAUACUGUUCUUUACUCUUUGAGGCUGUUCUCCUGCCAUUCUGUGUUCCUAGUGCAAAGUCUGCAUUUCUGUGUCCUAUCUUUAGUUGGUUACUGCUUUAUAUUGUUGACGUCUAGUCUUUUGUGCACUUGCUUUUGCUUCCACUGGUCAUACUUGUUUGAUUCAAUUCACCUGUGUCUUGUUUCUCCCAGCUGCGUCCUCUCUCCCUAAUCAACUUGCGCAAGUAUUUAAGCCCUCAGCUUUCCUCAGCUCCUUACUCUGUUGUUCUGUUUCAAGUUGUACACUUUGUUUGUCUACCUUGUGGCUUCCUGUGCGUUAGUUUUGGAUUCUUGGAACUUUUUAAAAUAAUCAAUAUUAUUAUCUCUCUUCACUGCGGAUUUGCCACACUCAUAUUUAAGGUCAGUUUUCAGUUCAUGGGGUUUGUCUUUCAGUCUGCAGUGUCGGGUUUACUGAUAGCUUAACAGUCUCAUUUGGCUCUUUGUAUACACCACUGUAUUACUAAAUCCUGGUAUUGUAGAUAGAACUAUACAUGCAUUUAAAAAGGCACAUGCGUGCUUAUCAGGGUGGACAUCAAAAGCUGAAAAUUCGGAACAUCUGUCACGAUCUAAUUCAGAUGAGUUUACUGAAAUUGCAACUUGGUGUUGCACUAUGACUUCAUGGUUUGACAGUCUGUUAAUCCCGUUUACUAGAAAAAGGCUCUUGGGAUAAUUACUCGGCUGUAGAGUUAAAUCUAAUAUUAAUAUUAAUACGUGGCUCUAAUAUUAGAGCCACAUAAUUGAGCAUGCGACGUAAAGUCACGUGGGCAUGCUGCGUGAGCCAUCGAGUCUAAAGUUUUCGUUUGCGAAUUGAAGCGGGUGCUCUCCAAUCAUCAAAAGCAACAAAGUCAUUGAACACAUUUAUAUAGUUACCUUUACGUUUACCUACCAUAUAUCACAGAUUUACUUUUUUUUUUUUAGUACUAUGCAAAAAAAGCAACCACAGAGCGACAGUCUGGGUCAAUGGUGGCCGAGGCGACGGCAAGGCUAAACAAAGCAUCGAAGCGUUAGGCUAGCUCUGUAACGGAAUAUAACAAAAGUAUGAGUUCUUUGUUUCUUUAUAUUAACGAACUUUUUACUGUACUGAAAAUAAGGAAUAGAAGAAAAUUCAUUCUUACCUUAUAAUAAUCGUGGUGCAGGCCAGUGCAGUGCAUGAACUUAUAUGCCUUCUCCAGUGAAUUCCGCUGAGAGUAAAUGUAAUGUCCCGCUCUACUGUACAAGACUUGUGAAUGGCUACCUGAAGGGAUGUACCACUGUGAGGGGGGGGUGCUAGGAAUAGUCCAAGUGAUCGCUGCUUUAAUUUUCCGGUCAACUACACAUAAAUUGCAAGUAGACAUGAUUUUAUUAAAGCUGGUGAACUGUAACUAGACCAGAAAUCAGUCAUAACAAAAGAACAUUCAAUCUAUUUUCUCCGGUACUUUAUACCCGCUCAGUUGCAAUGCAAUUUAACGCUCAACUACAAAUCAAUGGCUUUUUUUUAUGGUGACCUGUAGGGAUUUACCACUGUGAAAGAGGCUCUUUGGAUGAUCGCAGCUUUGAUCUCUGGUCAUCUAUAAAUAGACGUUGUUUCUUUUGUUUGUUGUAGACUUAAAAUAUUCCAUCCUCUAGAGGCAUAAAAAUAUAUUUUAUCAAAAGAUUCAGUGACUGGAGAAAUCUCUUUGCAGAAACAAUGAGGCUAAAAGCCAUGAUGUCAGUGAUCUUCAAACGCUCAUAGGAAAGUUAUCAUCAUGGAGCAUUAAACAGACACGAUUCUGUCCUGGAAAUCAGUGCAUUUCCUGUAUCCUUUGGGGCAACAGACCAGAGUCACACUUUUAGAGAGGUGCCUGAUGAGGUGGACUGAGAGGAAUAUCCAUGAUGCAUGGCAGUUUGUUCACUCACUUCCUCUCCACCACAGCUUCCGAAGCGCGGCCAAUCACAGAGCUUGCUCUCCUGAUCCAAGAAGAACACAUCAAAGUGCACUGCACUCACCUGAACUGACAGAACACCUGUCAUUAACAUUUUGGUGCACACACAAGCUUGCUCACAAAAAAAAGCCUGCCCAUCCACUGCUUGUGUACAGCCUCUGUUUUGAUCUUCCAGUUCAGCAAAUGUAUAAAUGUGGGUGUCCAGGUAUUUGUAUUCCUCCACCACAUCAUAUCAGCGGGUUCAGUAUCUUAUACUUUUGUCAAGAUAAUCCACACUGCAGCCGAUUUGUAUCUACAGUUACCAGAAAGAAGCCAUAACCAAGUUACAUGGAUUCUUUUUUAUUUUAAUUACUUUAUGUCAUACAGGUAAACUAGUUAUGUUAUGUGCAACGCUGUCAUGUGCCACUCUCUGUUUCAAAUUCAUGUAAGACAUCCAGAGUACUCUGAUGACAUUGACAAGGACAACUCCAGUUUACAUGGGAAACAAUUAUUUCAUGUUUUUGAGAUUAUUUAUUUACAUCACUUUUCAGAAAACGUACAUACAGGUCUGAUUCAAAACUGCAUAUCUAAUUUUAAUGCAUGUUGAUGGGGCAAAAAUAUUCCUGAGAUACUGUUAACAUUAUUAAAUUUGAAGGCUAUUAUACAGUGGUAUUACUUUAAACUGAGUAAAACGGUAUUUUGAUAAAAGUUAAGGUCUCCGUUUGUUUCAGAAAAAGCAUUCUGUCAUUUAUUUGCUUUUAUUAUUUAUUCAUAUGCCUUCCGUGGACCAUCUCGGCACUGCGUGGGUGAUUGGUGGCUCCGUGCACACUAAGUGCUGCACACAGGGACAAGGCGCACUAAUUACGAUCAGAUCUUCCCUGGGCAGGGGGAGGUGAUGAACUGUAUGCCACUUUUUCAUUGGCAUACAUUAAGUACAAUGUUUUAUUGCCUACGGUGGGGCAGGUCACAUACUGGGUGAAGGUGGUCAGUGUGGAGUCCAGCGAGACAUGAUUAAAGUCCCCUGAUAUUAGAAGAAGAGCUCUCGGAGAUUGCGUCUGCGGACCACAGAGAGUCACAGGCUGCCUCCACGGAUGCUAACGGCUAAUAGCUCAAUGUCUCUGUUGCAGAGUUGUUCUUUCACAGCAAUGUGCCCAGGGAUACCACAACCGUCUUUAACAAACACUGCCCAGUCCCCCUCCUUUCCUCUCACCGCUGUCUCUCGUCUUGUCCGGCCGCAGCAGCUGGAAGCCGGGCAGCCUACUCACA